Molecule: ribosomal RNA, 429 nt
Filed under: uncultured bacterium
Lineage: Bacteria
Description: bacterial SSU rRNA
Rfam family: Bacterial small subunit ribosomal RNA
Source: RNAcentral
AAUCAACGCUGGCGGCGUGCCUAACACAUGCAAGUCGCACGAGAAAGGGACUUCGGUCCUGAGUACAGUGGCGCACGGGUGAGUAACACGUGAAUAAUCUACCUUCGAGUGGGGAAUAACUGAGAGAAAUCUUAGCUAAUACCGCAUAAUACCUACGGGUCAAAGCAGCAAUGCGCUUGAAGAGGAGUUCGCGGCAGAUUAGUUAGUUGGCAGGGUAAUGGCCACCAAGACGAUGAUCUGUAUCCGGCCUGAGAGGGCGCACGGACACACUGGAACUGAAACACGGUCCAGACUCCUACGGGAGGCAGCAGUGGGGAAUUUUGCGCAAUGGGGGAAACCCUGACGCGGCAACGCCGCGUGGAGGAUGAAAUCCCUUGGGAUGUAAACUCCUUUCGAUCGGGAAGAUAAUGACGGUACCGAGAGAAGAAG